CAUAGGCAGUGGCUUGGUUAAGGGAACGGAACCCACCGGAGCUGUAGCGAAAGCGAGUCUUAAUAGGGCGAUUGUCACUGCUUAUGGACCCGAACCUGGGUGAUCUAUCGAUGACUAGGAUGAAGCUUGGAUGAAACUAAGCAGAGGUCCAAACCGACUGAUGUUGAAGAAUCAGCGGAUGAGUUGUGGUUAGGGGUGAAAUGCCACUCGAACCCAGAGCUAGCUUG
RNAcentral lists this ribosomal RNA (227 nucleotides) under Aegilops tauschii subsp. strangulata. Its description in RNAcentral is "rRNA LSU_rRNA_eukarya". It matches the Rfam family "Bacterial large subunit ribosomal RNA", at positions 629 to 852 of the family's 2925-position model. The record is from RNAcentral. Lineage: Eukaryota; Viridiplantae; Streptophyta; Magnoliopsida; Poales; Poaceae.